UACGUAGGGUGCGAGCGUUAAUCGGAAUUACUGGGCGUAAAGGGCGCGUAGGCGGCCUGUUAAGUCGGACGUGAAAUCCCUCGGCUCAACCGGGGAACUGCGUCCGAUACUGGCGGGCUUGAAUUCGGGAGAGGGAUGUGGAAUUCCUGGUGUAGCAGUGAAAUGCGUAGAUAUCAGGAGGAACACCGAUGGCGAAGGCAGGUCUCUGGGCUGACACUGACGCUCAUGCACGAAAGCGUGGGGAGCAAACAGG
Molecule: ribosomal RNA, 253 nt
Filed under: uncultured bacterium
Lineage: Bacteria
Description: partial 16S ribosomal RNA
Rfam family: Bacterial small subunit ribosomal RNA
Source: RNAcentral